Molecule: transfer RNA, 76 nt
Filed under: Clostridia bacterium
Lineage: Bacteria; Bacillati; Bacillota; Clostridia
Also listed under: 2 other names
Description: tRNA-Val
Rfam family: tRNA
About the family: Transfer RNA (tRNA) molecules are approximately 80 nucleotides in length.
Source: RNAcentral
GGAAGCUUAGCUCAGUUGGGAGAGCAUCUGCCUUACAAGCAGAGGGUCAUAGGUUCGAGCCCUAUAGCUUCCACCA